This 466-nucleotide ribosomal RNA is filed under the name uncultured bacterium. RNAcentral's name for it is "partial 16S ribosomal RNA". It matches the Rfam family "Bacterial small subunit ribosomal RNA", at positions 28 to 507 of the family's 1533-position model. The record is from RNAcentral.
GAUGAACGCUGGCGGCGUGCUUAACACAUGCCAGUCGAACGAUGAAGCCCAGCUUGCUGGGUGGAUUAGUGGCGAACGGGUGAGUAACACGUGAGUAACCUGCCCUUAACUCUGGGAUAAGCCUGGGAAACUGGGUCUAAUACCGGAUAGGAGCGUCCACCGCAUGGUGGGUGUUGGAAAGAUUUAUCGGUUUUGGAUGGACUCGCGGCCUAUCAGCUUGUUGGUGAGGUAAUGGCUCACCAAGGCGACGACGGGUAGCCGGCCUGAGAGGGUGACCGGCCACACUGGGACUGAGACACGGCCCAGACUCCUACGGGAGGCAGCAGUGGGGAAUAUUGCACAAUGGGCGAAAGCCUGAUGCAGCGACGCCGCGUUAGGGAUGACGGCCUUCGGGUUGUAAACCUCUUUCAGUAGGGAAGAAGCGAAAGUGACGGUACCUGCAGAAGAAGCACCGGCUAACUACGUG